RNAcentral lists this ribosomal RNA (472 nucleotides) under uncultured bacterium. RNAcentral's name for it is "bacterial SSU rRNA". It matches the Rfam family "Bacterial small subunit ribosomal RNA", at positions 335 to 799 of the family's 1533-position model. The record is from RNAcentral.
ACUCCUACGGGAGGCAGCAGUGGGGAAUAUUGCACAAUGGGGGAAACCCUGAUGCAGCCAUGCCGCGUGUGUGAAGAAGGCCUUCGGGUUGUAAAGCACUUUCAGUAGGGAGGAAGGUAGUGUAGUUAACACCUGCACUAUUUGACGUUACCUACAGAAGAAGCACCGGCUAACUCCGUGCCAGCAGCCGCGGUAAUACGGAGGGUGCGAGCGUUAAUCGGAAUUACUGGGCGUAAAGCGCAUGCAGGCGGCCUGUUAAGUCAGAUGUGAAAGCCCGGGCUUAACCUCGGAAUUGCAUUUGAAACUGGCAGGCUAGAGUCUUGUAGAGGGGGGUAGAAUUUCAGGUGUAGCGGUGAAAUGCGUAGAGAUCUGAAGGAAUACCAGUGGCGAAGGCGGCCCCCUGGACAAAGACUGACGCUCAGAUGCGAAAGCGUGGGGAGCAAACAGGAUUAGAUACCCUGGUAGGAUAGCG